GCGCCUGCGUUCGCGGGAGCGCGCGCCUUGUGCUUCGCGCUCAGGAGCCCGCCUUCUCGCGGCCCCGCGGGCCUUCCGGCUUCAGGGACCCAGGCGGUCUGGCUUGAACACUUCCCCCUGCUGGCGGAAAAAGCCUUGGGACCCGACUCCCCAGAGUAGAUCACCAAAAUCUGAGCCCAUCCUCAACGAAAUUUUUAACCUGCCUGAGAAGAGGAGGAUGUGCCCCCUCAAUUGGAAAAGUUACAACUACCGCAACCAUCUGCCCUUGCUGAUUUCCUGCUUUUAAUCAAGUGGAUGCUACUAGAAAGAUUUAUACUGUAGGCUCCUCCAGUCAUUAUUUAUGGAGAGUUAUCUACUGUGUGCCAGGCACAGUAGAGAUACACAAGAAAAUCAGGUUCCAGACUUCAUGGUUGAAUGGAUUCCUCAGUCAUUUUGUGUCUUUUUUUAACUAAAGACAAUUUUCAAGAUACAGUAGCUAGGGUAUCUAAUGCUGUGAGGUCUUUUUAAAGUAUUGUGUAUCUAACCUCACUUGCUUUCCAAAAUGUCUUGUUUUGUAUGUUAAGUUCACAUUUCAUUUACAUUUGAAAACAUUGCCUCCCCAUGUUGCCAGAAUUUUUUUUUUUUUUUUGGUACUGGGGAUUGAACUCGGGACUUUGCACUUGUGAGGCAGGCAGUGGAACCACUGAGCUAAAUCCCCAGCCCUGUUGCCAGAAUUUUAAAAUAUCAAGAUAAGUAGCUGAGCAGUCUUUCCAUUGCUGUAUUUUAGAUAUAUUCUGUUGAUGAAAUUUUCUUGUUUUUAGCUAUGCAAUUAGCAUAUAAAUGCCCAUAUUGGAAAAUGCAAACUAUAUUAAGUUUUAUACUCUGGGAGGCAGAGGCAGAAAGAUCUAAUUGCAUGUUUGAGCUUAGCCUGGGCAACUUAUCAAGACCCUAAAAAUAAAAAAGUGGUCCCCUCAAAAAGAAAUUUUUAUUUCUCUUCCCAAACCACCCCCUGCCACAAUAACCACUAUAACAAAUUUUUUUUUUUUUGUACCAGGGAUAGAACUCGGGACCUUGUGAUUGCAAGGCAGGUGGCAGAACCACUGAGCUAAAUCCCUGGCCCACCGCUAUAACAAUUUUGUGUACAUGCUUUUCAGACCUUUCCUCUUUAUUUUUUCAUUAUGGUUCUUUCAAUCAAUUCUUUUAAUACAGCAUAAUAUUUCAUAAUUUAAUAUGACACAAUUUAACCUUUUCCAAAAUUGUAGAAAUUUACAUUAUUCCUAUUCAGUGUAACUAACAGUGUUGCAGAAAGUAUCAUGUAUAUAUGAACACAGUCUGCAUACGUAUGAUUACAUUUCAGGAAUAGAUUACUAGAAAGUAUAACUGCAGAACAAAGGACAUAAUAAGCACCUCAAGGCCAAGCAUGGUGGCGCACGCCUGUAAUCCAGCACUAGGGAGGCAGAGACAUGAAGAUCACUGAGUUCGAAACCAGCCUGGGGUACAUAGUGAGUUCAAGGCCAGCCUAAACUACACAGCAAGACCCUGUCUCAAAAAAACCACCUCAAAUUUCAUAGUAUUGUGUUCGCAAAAUGAUUCAAAAAAAGCCAUACCAAAAAAAAAAAAAGCCAUACCAAUUUACAGUCUAUUUGAAAAAAAAAAAGCACACCUGUAAUCCCAGUACUCUAUCCCAGCACUCUGGGAGACAGAAAGGAGGGUCACACGUUUAUGCUCAUCCUGAGCCCCUGUCUCAAAAUAAAGUUAAAAAAGAAAAGGCUGAGGAUAUACCUGAGUGCAGAGACCUUGGGUUAAUACACACUACCACAAGGCAAAAAAAAAAAAGAAAAGGUUAUGUCUCGACCCCAUACCUCAAGAUAACAAAUUUCAGGGCCGGCUCAGUGGUUUCACUACCUGCCUCCUUGCAAGCGCAAGGUCCCGAAUUCUAUCUGUACCAAAAAAAAAAAAAAAAAAAAA
Molecule: non-coding RNA, 1947 nt
Organism: Heterocephalus glaber (naked mole-rat)
Lineage: Eukaryota; Metazoa; Chordata; Mammalia; Rodentia; Bathyergidae
Source: RefSeq, a predicted model, not a curated record